GACGAACGCUGGCGGCGUGCCUAAUACAUGCAAGUAGAACGCAGUUGCGAACGGGUGAGUAACGCGUAGGUAACUGCCUAAUAGCGGGGGAUAACUCUUGGAAACGAUAGCUAAUACCGCAUACUGUGAGAUGGACCCGCGUUGUAUUAGCUAGUUGGUGAGGUAAAGGGUACCCAAGGCGACGAUACAUAGCCUAACUGAGAGGGGUAUCGGCCAAAACGGGAGUGAGGCACGGGCCAGACUCCUACGGGGGGCAGCAGUAGGGAAACUUCGGGAAUGGACGGAAGUCUGAACGAGCAACGCCGGGGGAGUGAAGAAAGUUUUCGGAACGGAAAGCUCUGUUGUUGGAGAAACGGGAACUAACCAGAAAGGGACGGCUAACUACGUGCCAGCCGCCGCGGUAAUAC
RNAcentral lists this ribosomal RNA (407 nucleotides) under uncultured bacterium. RNAcentral describes it as "partial 16S ribosomal RNA". It matches the Rfam family "Bacterial small subunit ribosomal RNA", at positions 28 to 526 of the family's 1533-position model. The record is from RNAcentral.